RNAcentral lists this long non-coding RNA (791 nucleotides) under Mytilus galloprovincialis (Mediterranean mussel). Lineage: Eukaryota; Metazoa; Mollusca; Bivalvia; Mytilida; Mytilidae. The record is from RNAcentral.
GAAGACGUAUAUAUUGGACUGAUGGUUAUCUUCAACUCCUCAAAUCUUCUAUAUUUGAUGGUACUGAUGUUUUUACGAUAGUCCAAUUCGCUCAAAAGACAUUUCCACCGCCAAUUUGAAUAGAAUUAUAUGAUGAUCAAAUAUAUUGGACUAACUGGAAUGUUAAAAGUGUGAACACUGCUCAUAAAUACAAAAGCAAUGAUAUGAAGCCACUUAUAACUGGGAUAAAAGCACCGAGAAAUCUGAAGAUCAUAUCAAAAGAAACACGGAAGAAAGGUUAUAUCAAGGAUUAAAGCGUUUUGUCAGAUAACCAAAAAAAAUAUUUUUUUUAAAACACCGCUUGCGUUGUUACUUGUAUUACUUAACUCCUGAAUCGUUCAUAAUGAUGUAUGGUCUUUCUCUCUUUCCGUAUAUUAACUCAUCAUAGAUACCAGGAUUAGAAUUGUGUAUACCAGAAGUGUGUUCGUCUAAAAAGAAAAUGUUGUUACAUGUAUCAACUUGAUAUCAUAAUGUUCGAAAGGUCUCUUCAAACGCUUUUUGCAGUGAUUCAAACUUUAUCCUUACACUCUAGAAACAUUUACUGUUUGGAAUUUUCCUCGAAGUUCGGUAGUUUUGUUAUUUUACUUUUUUAUUAUUUUAAACAAGGUACACACCUAUGUGGGAAUACUAAUGGUGGCUGUCAGCAUCUAUGUCUCCCUGAUCCGAUCACUUUAAACAGUGCAGGGUAUAGCUGUGUUUGUGCUGAUAUGUUUCAUAAGGAUAAUGCAAUGCAAUGUAUUAAGAAAGAUACA